Peromyscus maniculatus bairdii (prairie deer mouse) is the source of this 3154-nucleotide non-coding RNA. NCBI's taxonomy places the organism in Eukaryota, Metazoa, Chordata, Mammalia, Rodentia, Cricetidae. The record is from RefSeq and is a predicted model, not a curated record.
UUGUCUGAUUAUAUUUAUAGUUCGCUUUUUUUUCACAGCUAUUUAAAGAAGAUAUGUGGUCACUUCAGCCAAGAGCUCAGAAGGUCUCAAGAGAUUCUGGAGCAUGGGUUCUUUCAUUUAAGCUGUUUCGUAUCCAUAUUUUAGAGGAGUACUUGGGACUGGAAGGAUCAGCUAAGAAAACCAAGAAGGAUCUGCAAGAGCAAUAGGAAGAAGCCAAAGAGAAGCUUCUUAUGAAGCACAGCUUGUGGGGAGGGGAGGGAGGAGGUAGAAACACGAGUCCGGGCCUCCCAUUCAUGAAGGACUGUGAGAGAAGAGCAGAGGAAGGAGGAAACAGAGACAGCAGCCGGGUGAAUAUUAUCCUAAGUAGGGUUAAGAAGACUGAAAACUGACAAGACAGACAGGGGAGUAGGGACGGCAAGACAGCAGCUCACCAGGUCAAAGCGCUUGCCCCGCAGCCUAAUGACCCAGAGCACAAACCGUAGCGGUAGAGAACCAACGCUCACAGCUGUCCCCUGAGCUCCGCGCAGGCGCCGUACACGCUCCACGGCACGUACACACCGACACACAGACUACAACACCAUGUGAAAAAAUAGAAGAAAGGAGAGUAACUGAUAAGACGCUGUGAGCCGCUGGAGGAGGAAUGUAGACAAGAUCAGCCUUUUCUCUGAGCUCCGAAGGGUGGAAGUGAGCAAGUGAGAAGUAUGUGGGUUCAAACCCGAGAAACAGGGUCAUCUGAACAGAGUAUGACUGUAUCCAGGAUGACACAUAGCAUGCCCGGCACUUCUCAGUUUAAGGCAGUACCUAGAAAACUGUGAGAGACGGGGACCUUGAUUAACUCAUACCCCCCUCACUAGCCCUUUAGUUACUGUGAUGGCAAAGUUCCACUGUCACCCCCACUGGAAAUAAGAUCUUCUAGGGGACACACUUCUGGAUGCAAAUGGAGAGUAUUCAAAAGAGAAUUCAUAGAAGAUAGAAAACUUCCCUGGACACACUGGGCACUUCCCCAUGUGUUGAUGGCUCAGACUGAAUAGAAAAGAAAUAGAAGAAAACUUGCUUCCUUUCUUCCUGUUGUUUCAAACACUAACACCAUUGUGUUCUUUGUUCACAACAUCAGGGAGGCUGAUUGGGAGGUGUUAAAGCAGCAGCAAGACUCUGAGGUCUUCUUCGGUGUAUUGAUGUAACAAGAAGGCUCUCACCAAGUGACCUUGGACUCCGCAGUCUCCAGGCUAUGAGGAGUUGGGUCUUCUUUUAUAAUGUAAGGAAAAUAGCAUCUCAGUUCUACAAUCACAGCUAUGAAAAGACAGCAUUAAGUUGGGAGCCAGCCUACAGGUAGGGCAUCAGGAAUACAAAUCCCAGCUAUGACACUCUGUGACUGCAUAUUAUUGAGCAAAUGAUUUAUCUACACUUCAAUUUCUUAUUCUAAAGAGGAUGAGUUACCUGUCUCAAGUGGAUGGACCAUGAGCAGCUUAGGUCAUCACUUCAUAGUUUGAGACAGAUAAUGUUCAGUAUUCAAUUUGUACAACAUUUACACAGAGCCUUUAUUUGGAGAGCCUACAAGCACUUGCCUGUCACCAAGUAUAUUUGCCAUGUGUCCACAGGGUGAGAGCUAUGAAGCUAUUCUUUCAAGUCCAAGCUAUUCACCAAACAGAAAUUACAGCCAUCACGUUUAAAGGCAUGUCUGAGCCUCUGUGUUCUGCAGGAUUCAGCUCUCGAGACUCUCAAACACAGUGGACACCGUGGCUGUUUAUUAAGAAGGAUGCUUUGGACGAGCAUUUGUAGAGAAGAGAAAGGCAGAGCAAGCUGGGCUGCCAUACAGGCUCAACAACAGCCUCUGCCAGCACCGCAGAGAACUCUGGAGAUGAGCCAGGGAACAACUUUGCAUCCCUGCAGUGAUCAGUCACUGAUGUGUGUCAUCCUGUGAAGGAGUGUGACAUUAGAUGAAGUGCUUAUGAGGCAAGUCCAGAAGAGACCUGAUGGCAGAGGAGACCCGACAGCUGUAGGCUGCUUGUUAACAGUCCACACAGCAAAUGGGAGCGAGUCCUUCUCUGAAGGGAGACCAGGGCCACACAUGGCUAUGCUUCUGCACACACCACAUCCUCUCCUUUGGAAAGGCGCCCCAAUUAUCUGCACAAGAAUGACUCCGAGAGCCACGCACUAAAGAAGGCUUCCAACCUUGUUCCUCUGCUAGCAUCGGUUCUUUGGCUAUGAACUAGUGGCGUACAUAACAUAAUCCCGCAAAGUCCCAUGAUCUGCUGCUACCUGGAGGCCAGAGACCCAAGUGCACUGAUUGUGUCAGACCCAGCCCAGGUCUAAAGAUGGAUGCCUCACUUCAGUAGUCAGGUAUAUGGAGGUGCCCAUGGAGGCAAGAAAAGUGUUAGAUGCGCCCCCACCCAAGAUGCAGUUACAAGAAGCUGUGAGCUGCUUGAGGUGGGCUUUGGGAACAGAACUUUGGUCCCGUGGAAGAGCUGCCAAGUGCUUCACUCCUGAGCCACCUCUCCAGCCCUGGAGGCGAGACUUAAGGAAAUGAUUUAAGUGAGGACCUCAGGGUGGCCCCUACUCUCCAAUUCACAUCCUUGCCAAGAGGAAGUCUGGACUCCAGAUCCUGCACACAGGAACAAAGCCUCAGGAGAAGCCAAACUUACCAACACUUUGACCUUGAACUUUUAGCCCCCACAACCAACAAGUUUCACGCCUCACAGAGAAAAUAAGAUUUCAACAAAGACCCGAAGAAGAAAAAAAGUCAGCCAGAGGAUAUUUGGGGGAGGAGCAUUCAGGAGAGGGAGGGAGACACAAUUCCGGGAGCCCUGAGCUGGAGGGAUGCCAGUGUGGUCUGAGACUUAAGCAUUAAAAGAUGAGCGAAGAAAGGGCAUGAAGAGGAGGCAAAGGCAGCCUGUGUGAGCGAGGUUCUCAAGCUAUGCUGGGCACUGAGGAAAUGUUCUGAAGACCUGAGAAGACAUUUUGUCCAGAUUGGUGUGACAGCGUGAGCCUACGCUCAAGUACAGUCAACACACAACACAAUUCUAAUUCUACAAGCGACUGCUAUUUCAGAAUAAAAGACGAGACGGUGUGGCUACUGUUCCGAGGGGUUCCUGGUGGUCUUGACUGGCAGGAACUUACCAAGCAACCGGCCCUGGGAGGAGGAGCAACCAGGUGC